This is a long non-coding RNA of Uranotaenia lowii, 425 nucleotides long. RefSeq lists it as uncharacterized. Lineage: Eukaryota; Metazoa; Arthropoda; Insecta; Diptera; Culicidae. The record is from RefSeq and is a predicted model, not a curated record. The transcript has 3 exons.
CAGGUGUACCAGUUCAACUUUGUCUCAAUCUUGUCUCAAUUUUCUUAACUUUUGAAAAAUGUUUACACUCAUAAAAUCACUUCUGAUUGUGUGCAGCGUUUCGUUGAUCAUUUUACAGCUUUCUCGAGGAACAGAAGGAGCAGAUCAAAGAUAUUCGAUGGGAUUGAAUGCUCAAACUACAAGAAAAUCGUCGGGGAGCAACCCUUCAACGACGAGGAAAUCCUUAGGAUCGGAUCCAUGUGCCCGAGCUCCUGCAGUUGUGUGUAGUUCAGUGGAGAUGGCAAGAAGAUGCAAUUUCGAACAAAAUUGUGAAGAGCAAAAACUUGGAUAUGCUGCUACAAAGAAUUAAUUUAAUAUGUUUAUUUUUGAAUCUGGAAGUCUUUUUCGUCGAUAUAUGAGAAUAAAUCAAUGCAUAUAAAUUCCAA